AUCGCUUCUCGGCCUUUUGGCUAAGAUCAAGUGUAGUAUAAAAUCUUUAGUGGUUAGCAUUCUAUCCUGUACCUAUAUUCAACCAGAUAAGCAUGAAUUAAGGUGAAAAAUCAUUAACUUUUUCACAGUAAGAUAUAAUAUCCUUAAUAAACUUAA
This 156-nucleotide small nuclear RNA is filed under the name Zalophus californianus (California sea lion). RNAcentral describes it as "U2 spliceosomal RNA (ENSZCAG00015024975.1)". It matches the Rfam family "U2 spliceosomal RNA". From Rfam's summary of the family: U2 is a small nuclear RNA (snRNA) component of the spliceosome (involved in pre-mRNA splicing). Complementary binding between U2 snRNA (in an area lying towards the 5' end but 3' to hairpin I) and the branchpoint sequence (BPS) of the intron results the bulging out of an unpaired adenosine, on the BPS, which initiates a nucleophilic attack at the intronic 5' splice site, thus starting the first of two transesterification reactions that mediate splicing. Lineage: Eukaryota; Metazoa; Chordata; Mammalia; Carnivora; Otariidae. The record is from RNAcentral.